GACGAACGCUGGCGGCGUGCUUAACACAUGCAAGUCGAACGGGAUUUAGUAGACAGAAGCCUCGGCUAAAGAUUACUAAUGAGAGUGGCGAACGGGUGAGUAACGCGUGAGCAACCUGCCUAUGACAGUGGGAUAGCCUCGGGAAACCGGGAUUAAUACCGCAUAAAAUCGUAGAAACACAUGUUUCAACGGUCAAAGAUUUAUCUGUCAUAGAUGGGCUCGCGUCUGAUUAGCUAGUUGGUGAGAUAACAGCCCACCAAGGCGACGAUCAGUAGCCGGUCUGAGAGGAUGAACGGCCACAUUGGAACUGAGACACGGUCCAAACUCCUACGGGAGGCAGCAGUGGGGAAUAUUGCACAAUGGGGGAAACCCUGAUGCAGCGACGCCGCGUGAACGAAGAAGGUAUUCGUAUCGUAAAGUUCUGUCCUAUGGGAAGAUAAUGACAGUACCAUAGAAGAAAGCUCCGGCUAAAUACGUG
RNAcentral lists this ribosomal RNA (478 nucleotides) under uncultured bacterium. RNAcentral describes it as "partial 16S ribosomal RNA". It matches the Rfam family "Bacterial small subunit ribosomal RNA", at positions 28 to 507 of the family's 1533-position model. The record is from RNAcentral.